CAAUACGCUCAGCUCCGUGCAGCAAGUGUCUCCUGCGCAUCACCUGUGCCUGCAGUUCUGUGCAGAUCCAGUGGGAUCCUGUGUCUGCGUGCUUUCUGGGGGCUGCUCAGCCUUCAAUGGGGAUGCUGGGCAUCACAGGGCUGGAGGGGGGGACAGUGCCCACCCGAGCAGAGCUGGGCUUCCUGUCCAUGUGCACCACUGGCCCCACUCCAACCCAUGAAUCAGGUAUCCUGUCUCUCUCUCUCUCAUACACACACACACUCACAUAUGCACAUACACGCACACUCAUACACACACACAGACAUGCUCACACAGACACAUACACAUGUUCACACGUACACAGGCACCCACUCACACAAAUACACACAGAGACACAGACACACACACUCUCAUAUAUACACACACAGACACUGUUACACACUCAUACACACACAUUCUCUCUCAUAUACACACAGAUACACACACAAUCAUACUUUUACACACACAUGCUCAUACACACACGCUCACACAGACACACACACACUGUCUCAUACACACAUAGACACACACACACACGCUCACACAGACACACUCUCUCUCAUACACACACACAGACUCUCUUAUACACACACGCGCUUACACAGACAUUCUCUCAUACACAUACACGGACUCUCUCAUGUACACACACACAGUUACAUAGACACACUCUCUCACACACACUCUUUCAUACACACACACAGAGACACACACAUACACUCUCUUACACACACACACUCUCUCUCUCACACACACACAGACGCACACCGUCUGCUCACGAGCACACAGGGUGAGGAUUCAGGUUCAGGCCCCGCUGGCCUUGACCUCUGUCCGCACCGGGGCCCCUCUCUUCUUCCUCCGAGGGCUCUCUCCUGCCACCCCAGCAGCAGCCCGGAUCCCGCAAGCCUGGGGCGGGACACACCCCUGCUGCGAGCUCUCCUGGGAGCCCGGGGCCCCUUGGCACCAGCGCCGUCGUCCGCCUGCACUGACUGACCUUCUCCGAACUGCCGG
This 1026-nucleotide long non-coding RNA is filed under the name Bos mutus (wild yak). RNAcentral describes it as "lncRNA (ENSBMUG00000023545.1)". Lineage: Eukaryota; Metazoa; Chordata; Mammalia; Artiodactyla; Bovidae. The record is from RNAcentral.